RNAcentral lists this unclassified non-coding RNA (390 nucleotides) under Hevea brasiliensis (rubber tree). The record is from RNAcentral. Lineage: Eukaryota; Viridiplantae; Streptophyta; Magnoliopsida; Malpighiales; Euphorbiaceae.
AAGUCAAUGAACUAUUUCAAGGAACAAAUAUUUUCAAAGUUUCUGAGAAACUAUUCUAAUGAUACAUACACGAUCCCAUAAAUAUAUACACAUGAAAUAUGUACAUAUCCAAUAAUCUCUAGUCAUCUGUAAGGUCAGUCUCCGAGCGCUGGUGUUGUUGAAUGACCAAAACUGAACAAUUGAUGUUGAAUUCCGAAGAAGCUAGAAGGUCUCCGACUAUCCCAAGCUCUGGACAUUCUUCCCAGUCACUCAAACCUUCAGUUAUGGGUGAAUGACCUCUUCCACCCUUCCCUACAAUCAACAAAGAAAAUCUCUCCCCAGUGCCUCUUAAGGCCUCCAAUGUCUGCGUCCUAUCGUUCACAUACCUGUCCUCGUAUCCAACUUGACCUG